RNAcentral lists this ribosomal RNA (497 nucleotides) under uncultured bacterium. RNAcentral's name for it is "bacterial SSU rRNA". It matches the Rfam family "Bacterial small subunit ribosomal RNA", at positions 903 to 1397 of the family's 1533-position model. The record is from RNAcentral.
AAAGGAAUAGACGGGGACCCGCACAAGCAGCGGAGCAUGUGGUUUAAUUCGAAGCAACGCGAAGAACCUUACCAAGUCUUGACAUAUUUCGGAGGGAUUUAGAGAUAAAUUCUUAUGACUUCGGUCAACUGAAAUACAGGUGGUGCAUGGUUGUCGUCAGCUCGUGUCGUGAGAUGUUGGGUUAAGUCCCAUAACGAGCGCAACCCCUAUCGUUAGUUACCAUCAUUAAGUUGGGGACUCUAGCGAGACUGCCGGUGAUAAACCGGAGGAAGGUGGGGACGACGUCAAAUCAUCAUGCCCUUUAUGACUUGGGCUACACACGUGCUACAAUGGCAGGUACAGAGGGCAGCGAAAUUGUGAAAUGAAGCGAAACUCACAAAGCCUGUCUCAGUUCGGAUUGCACUCUGCAACUCGAGUGCAUGAAGUUGGAGUUGCUAGUAAUCGUGGAUCAGCAUGCCACGGUGAAUGCGUUCCCGGGUCUUGUACACACCGCCCGU